UAUCCAGCCUGUGCUCCUGGCUGCAGCUCUGGCACUGGCACUGAAAUGGGAUCGUGGCCUUGGCCUCCAGCUCUAAAGCAAAGUGGUGUCAGCUCCUCCUGACACACCUGGGGCGAAGCAGAGGGGAAGGUUUGAGCUGGUUUGGGGACAGUGACAGUGUGGGGGGCACUGCAGGUGCUGCCAGUGGGAUCAGGGCCUUAGGGAGGCCAGUGGGACAUGUUCCCACCACUGGAGGAGGCGGCUGUGCAAUUCCGUGGGGAUUCAGGCUCAGGAAUUUGCUGGCAGCCCUUUCCCAGGGUGAUUGGCAGCUGGCAGGGAGGAGGUCGCUCUGCAGAUGCAAUGUUUGUGUCUCUGUCCUGAGUGGGCUUUCCUGAUCAGUGAUAACCCCAGGGCUGGCUGAAGAAAUGUCACUCUAAAUACAGGUAUCGACCUCAAUAGAAAUAUUUUCAUUUUACAGUGUGAAAUGCCAGCAACGUUAUCUACCUGAUGGCUCACAGAUUAUAAUGUCUGUUCCUUCCCAACACAGUAAAUUCUCCACGAUGUCACAUCACAUGAUGGCGAGGCAGGUUUGAAGCCCCGGCUCUCCAAGUGACUUCCAGCGGACCGUGACGGGAAUCAAGGUCUUAUCGUCAAAGCACCAACUAUAUUUCGAGAGACAUCUGCUUUUCUCAAGAGCAACACACAAACUUGGCUCUGCCUUUUAUUUUUUAUUUUUUGUUGUUUUUCCCUCCUCCUCACUGCAGUGCUGCUGCGAGGAAGUGCAGGUGAGAGGAGGAGGAAGCAGCAAGGGGCGGUCCAGGCUGCAUCCCUGGAAAUUCAGUUGUUGAUUGUUAAGGAGCGUCAUUUCAACUUAAACUGUUCCAAAUCUCUUCCUUUGCCUGAGCUGCCCCCUGCCCCUGCCUGCUCGUGUGGGAUGUUGGAACUGGA
This 927-nucleotide long non-coding RNA is filed under the name Cyanistes caeruleus (blue tit). RNAcentral describes it as "lncRNA (ENSCCEG00000015977.1)". Lineage: Eukaryota; Metazoa; Chordata; Aves; Passeriformes; Paridae. The record is from RNAcentral.